GUGAGUGUAGCUCAGUCGGUAGAGCUCCUGACUGUGGAUCAGGCGGCCGUGGGUUCGAGCCCCACCACUCACCCCA
This 76-nucleotide transfer RNA is filed under the name Acidobacteriota bacterium. Its description in RNAcentral is "Acidobacteria bacterium tRNA-His". It matches the Rfam family "tRNA". From Rfam's summary of the family: Transfer RNA (tRNA) molecules are approximately 80 nucleotides in length. Their secondary structure includes four short double-helical elements and three loops (D, anti-codon, and T loops). The record is from RNAcentral. Lineage: Bacteria; Pseudomonadati; Acidobacteriota. RNAcentral also lists the same sequence under 1 other name.